This 465-nucleotide ribosomal RNA is filed under the name uncultured bacterium. RNAcentral's name for it is "bacterial SSU rRNA". It matches the Rfam family "Bacterial small subunit ribosomal RNA", at positions 338 to 795 of the family's 1533-position model. The record is from RNAcentral.
CCUACGGGGGGCAGCAGUGGGGAAUUUUGCGCAAUGGGCGAAAGCCUGACGCAGCAACGCCGCGUGGGUGAUGAAGGUCUUCGGACUGUAAAACCCUGUCGUCAGGGACGAAGGUGCGCACGUUAAUAGCGUGUGUGCUUGACGGUACCUGGAGAGGAAGCCCCGGCUAACUCUGUGCCAGCAGCCGCGGUAAUACAGAGGGGGCAAGCGUUAUUCGGAAUUAUUGGGCGUAAAGGGCGCGUAGGCGGUUUUUUAAGUCAGAUGUGUAAUCCCCGAGCUCAACUUGGGAACUGCAUCUGAGACUGGAAGGCUAGAGUACUGGAGAGGGUGGUGGAAUUCCUCGUGUAGCGGUGAAAUGCGUAGAGAUGAGGAGGAACACCAGUGGCGAAGGCGGCCACCUGGACAGUAACUGACGCUGAGGCGCGAAAGUGUGGGUAGCAAACAGGAUUAGAUACCCGAGUAGUC